This 253-nucleotide ribosomal RNA is filed under the name uncultured bacterium. RNAcentral's name for it is "partial 16S ribosomal RNA". It matches the Rfam family "Bacterial small subunit ribosomal RNA", at positions 524 to 776 of the family's 1533-position model. The record is from RNAcentral.
UACGAAGGGUGCAAGCGUUACUCGGAAUUACUGGGCGUAAAGCGUGCGUAGGUGGUUCGUUAAGUCUGAUGUGAAAGCCCUGGGCUCAACCUGGGAAUUGCAUUGGAUACUGGCGGGCUAGAGUGCGGUAGAGGAUGGCGGAAUUCCCGGUGUAGCAGUGAAAUGCGUAGAGAUCAGGAAGAACAUCUGUGGCGAAGGCGGCCAUCUGGACCAGCACUGACACUGAGGCACGAAAGCGUGGGGAGCAAACAGG